CUGGUGAACUGGGAUGCUAGGUCCCAGAGCUAUGCAUUUGGUGGUGAGUCAUUUGGCUGGUAAAUCAGUCAUGAGAAUGAGCCAGGAGAGUUCUCCCACUCCUACAGCUUGAAGAUAUAGAAGAUGUCUACCUAUAGACCAGGAAGUGACUUUCUCACAAGUCUCCAUCUUCUUUGGCCUUGAUAAUAUGCUUCCAGCCUCCAGAAUCAUAAAACAACAACAAAAAGGUUUGUUAUAAACUACUCAAUUUACAUUAAUUUACAAUGUUUGUUCUAAGAGGUAGCUAUAAAUAUAGCAGAGAAUUCCAAAAUUGACGUUGACUAUACUCUAUUGACCCCACUUUCUUCUAGGAUGUCACAGGAAGUGAUUUGGAACAGAGCAGCUCUGCUAAGGAUUUGAAGCAGGGACAUGACAGUUUCCAACUCUGGGGCUUCCUUAUACUGGGUUGGCAAGGAAGAUCAUAGUCUCCUUGGGCCCAUCAUUCUCAGAUCUUCUCAGCAGGGGUUUCUCCCUGCAGCCCAGUGUUCGAUGUGCCCCAGGGAUGAUUAAUGUUAAAUGAAUAAAGGAUGAAUGAACAAGUC
RNAcentral lists this long non-coding RNA (581 nucleotides) under Rattus norvegicus (Norway rat). RNAcentral describes it as "long non-coding RNA NONRATT033667". Lineage: Eukaryota; Metazoa; Chordata; Mammalia; Rodentia; Muridae. The record is from RNAcentral.